Molecule: ribosomal RNA, 248 nt
Filed under: uncultured bacterium
Lineage: Bacteria
Description: partial 16S ribosomal RNA
Rfam family: Bacterial small subunit ribosomal RNA
Source: RNAcentral
CUCCGCCGGCGACCGGCGCACGGGUGCGUAACGCGUAUGCAACCUACCUUUAACAGGGCGAUAACACUGAGAAAUUGGUACUAAUCCCCAUAACAUCGAGAAGGCAUCUUCUUGGGUUAAAAACUCCGGUGGUUAAAGAUGGGCAUGCGUUGUAUUAGCUAGUUGGUGAGGUAACGGCUCACCAAGGCAACGAUACAUAGGGGGACUGAGAGGUUAACCCCCCACACUGGUACUGAGACACGGACCAG